AGGGCCACAUCACAUUGAAACACCGGUUCACGUACGAUCACCGAAGUUAAGCAACGUCAAGUUUGGUCAGUAGUUAGAUGAAUAACUGCUUGAGAAUAACAGGGGCUGUAAG
Molecule: non-coding RNA, 112 nt
Organism: Acanthosepion pharaonis
Lineage: Eukaryota; Metazoa; Mollusca; Cephalopoda; Sepiida; Sepiidae
Source: the annotation of a GenBank genome assembly